UACGUAGGUGGCAAGCGUUGUCCGGAUUUAUUGGGCGUAAAGGGUUCGCAGGUGGCCUUUUAAGUCAGAUGUGAAAGAUCACAGCUCAACUGUGGUAAGCAUUUGAAACUGAAAGGCUUGAGUUAAGGAGAGGAAAGUGGAAUUCCAUGUGUAGCGGUGAAAUGCGUAGAUAUAUGGAGGAACACCAGUGGCGAAGGCGACUUUCUGGUCUAUUAUUGACGCUGAGGCUCGAAAGCAUGGGUAGCAAACAGGAUUAGA
Molecule: ribosomal RNA, 258 nt
Filed under: uncultured prokaryote
Description: partial 16S ribosomal RNA
Rfam family: Bacterial small subunit ribosomal RNA
Source: RNAcentral